Long non-coding RNA from Helianthus annuus (common sunflower), 4009 nucleotides. RefSeq lists it as uncharacterized. The record is from RefSeq and is a predicted model, not a curated record. The transcript has 6 exons. NCBI's taxonomy places the organism in Eukaryota, Viridiplantae, Streptophyta, Magnoliopsida, Asterales, Asteraceae.
GGCAUUUUGAAAAGGUGGAAGGUGAGUGUCAAAGCAGAGGACACGCGUCAUUUGAGGGCAGUGGUGGGUUGUUCAAAUAUGCAACAGAGAUAUAGGGAAAGAGAGAGAGAGAGAGAGAGAGAGAUGAGAGAGAGUGACGGUUGACGGCCAUUUUCUCCGGCCGACCGUCUUAGUAGUCCGACGAGUAGCUUUAGACUCGAGUAUCACACUCGAUCAUCCACAGACAAACCCUUCUCGAUGAAUUUUCACGGUGGUGGCGGCUCUAGGGUUCCGGCUAUUAAACCCGACGGCGACCACAACCGACGGUCCACAGAUGCGCCGUACAUUCAUGAUGGUUGUGGUUUCAACGUCGAUGGCUUUUUGGAACUGACCCCCUGCUUCAACUUUCACCCUACAUCGAUUUCCCAAGAAAACCUUUCGAUCCUCGGCAGCCUUAAAUCCAUUCUGUGCUCCACACCUCACAAAGUCUAUUCUGUGACACACCACCAUCCAGACACAGGAGGCAUGCGGUUUGAAGAUCUGGUUUACACAGAUCAUUUCGGAAAAAGAAGUCGCUAGGGUUUGACGAAGCAGGGUCCCAUCGUGAACCCUCAGCGGCAACAAUGGUGCUCAGGUUCUAUGAAGCAUAUGUUCAAACGCGGGAUACAGAGGGGUUUACUCAGGUAUCCUAUGUCUCUAAAGGAUGGGGAGGUUUCGGGUCUAAUGCGUGGAUUCAGUGCCCUUCAGAUUAUCAUGUUCUUUUCGAUGCAAGAUCCUUUUGUUUUAUGUUCAUUUCUUUAUUUGUUUUGAGACAUAUCGGAAAAGCCGGUGGGGUAGGGGAUUUAUGCCUUAUAUUUUUCUUGGGAUGUGUGUGCUUUGGUGAUAUAUUAUGGUUGACAAGGUGGGAAGGACUAGCACCCAGUGUGGGGUUUCGGUAGGGUGGGAAGCGCAAACGUAACGGGCUUUUCGUACCCAAGGCACAAGAUGAUUGAAUGAUUUUCUUAGGAAAAUGGUUGAAGAAAAAAAUGUAAUGCAAAUAAAGCUUAAUCUAAAACCGUAAAAAGUCAAAUGAAAGAUAUGGAAACCAAAAAAAAAACAAAACAACAUAUAUACAUCAAUGCACAGUUGAAAGCCGCCAACAAUGCGGCAGAGAGCGGAAACCGGGUCGAGGCGGAGGAGGCGCCAGAAGAAGAGUCGUCAUUAUCGGAGAAAUGAUUGUCAUUAGAAGGACCGUGGCUUUAAAUCUUUAAUGAUCAUAUAUUAUUAAAACAUAUGUUCUUAUCUUGUGUUUGUGAUUUUUGUUACUUGCAAGAUACUUUUUGUUUUUAUGCUUUGAAAACAAGUUUGUAAUAUUGCUUUUGCAUAAUUAGGACAGCCUUUACAGCGGUUGUGCGAUAAACAAAUUAGAGUUCCAGUGAUGGUGGGCUUAGAGUAUGGAUGGUGGUUGGUUUUGACGGCGUAGGGGUUUUACGGCGACUCCUAAUUCCUGUCCCGACAUUCAGGUAUUGCAUGGUGGAUUAGAGACUAUGGUGGCGUUUGGUAACGGUAGUUCUUCGUCGCCGUUUAAAGCUUCGUCAUGGAAAGAUCUUGCAGUCAAGAGUUGAGUAGCUUUAGUAAUAAUUCUUCCCCAGACUAAUCAUCUUCUCCAACCAAAACCCUCAAUCUGCGAUUCGAAUUCUGAUACCAAACCACAAGAAUAACGCCGAAGAUCAAGCAGGACAACAAUGGUGCUAACCCUGUGGUGGGUGCGUGACAAAAAAACAAGCAGUUUGACUCCUACGAAGUUUAGGAGAUAGUCCUAAGAUAUUCACUUUAAGAAUCAACCAUGGUGGUGUGUUUGUGAAUUCUCCUGUAAAAAGGUAUGUAUAUUUAACGAUCGAUCACAUAAAUAUGGUGGAUUCUGAUGUAUUUUCUGUUAUUGAGUUAAAUCACAUGAUUAUGGAAAUAGGUUAUCCCAAGGAACGGAUUAUGUUCCAUCACUUCUUAAUUCCUCAAACACAAAUUAGUGAUAGGUUAAGACCAUUAGGUAAUGAUCAAGAUGUGCUUUUGUUGAUUGCGCAUGUUUCUAAUUUUAAAGUGAUAGAGGUGUUUACUAAAUGAUGGUCGUCUAGGUUGGGUGUUGAGUACCAUUUUACAUCUCCAAUUAAGACAUCUGGUGUAGUCAUUGAGGAGUUAGAAGUUGAUAAUCCACAACCUUCUAACCCUUAGCCAUCCCACCCUAGAAGAAGACAACUAGCCCUAGAGUAUUUUAUGGAUUUUGAGAGUUCAACUGUUAAUGCUGAUACAACUAGGAAGGGUAAUGAAGAUGAUACCAGUAGGAUUGCAACAAAAGAUGAUAGGAUAGAUGAUCAUGUAUCAGUUAAUGUUGAUACAACUAGGAAGGCUAAUGAAGAUGAUACCAGUAGGAUUGCAACCGAAGAUGAUAGGAUAGAUGAUCAUGCAUCAGUUAAUGUUGAUACAACUAGGAAGGGUAAUGAAGAUGACAUGGUGGAUGAUCAUGAAAAUGUUGAUGAAGUUGAAGAUGAUAGGAUAGAGGAUGUUGAUAACAUGGUUGUAGAAAUACUAGUUAACAUGGAUUCAUUUAACUACAAUGUUGGUAAAUACCUCGAUGCUGAGAAGUUUGUAGAUGAGGAUUAUGAAGUUGACUUUGAUUUAGAUGACUUUGAAAGUGGUAGUGAAGAUGAGGGUGGAAAUGUUAAAAUUUAGCUAUUAAGCAGUGCAAAAAAAAGAAAGAAAGAAAGAGCAAGUGUCUCGAAGGAAACCUUUCUUUGUUGGUCAAACCUUUUCCAACAAAGAGGACAUCAAGAAUAUGGUCAAAUUACAUGCUAUUAGAACUAAAAGACAGUUAUUUAUCAAGAGGAAUGAAAUGUACAGGUUUAGAGUGGUGUGUUUUGGGGUAAAUCCUGUGUUUUGUUUCUGAAGGGUCAAAAGGUACUAAAGUUAAUUUUGAAGGGGCUAACAAAAAAAAGUAGGGAAUCUUUUGAUGGAAAAGUAAACAAGACUUCACAUGUUGGUGGGUCCACUUCUUUGAGUAAAAAGGAUGUACCCACCUGUCCUUGGGCACUACACAUUUCAAGGGAAAAAUUUGAACAAACCUGGUUGGUGAUGACAAAUAAACAUGAACACAAAUGUUUGUUAACCAGGCAGGUGAGGCUAUACAUUAUAAGCUCUAUUUCCAAAGAGAUUCUACCAACAAUUUAGUCAAAUUCUAGUAUACCUUUAAAGGCAUUACAAGAUCAGAUAGAAAAGAAGAACCAGGUUCAGGUGUCUUUCCAGAAAAUAUUCAGGGCAAAGGUGAUGGCUGUAGAAAACUAAAAGGUGACUACAUUGCACAUUAUAUGCUUUUAAGGGAUUAUGGUCAAGAGUUGAUCAGAACUAACCCAGGUUCAACAAUGAAGCUUGAGGUUGAAAGUGAGCCCAAUUCAAGUAGUGAAGCAAGGCAAUUUAACAGGAUCUAGUCAUGCUUUGGAGGAGUGAAACAAAGUUUUAAACAAGGUGGUAGGGAUAUUUUGGGUUUGGAUGGCUGCUCUAUGAAGGGCCCUUAUCCAUGGCAGAUCCUAACAGUUGUUGGUGUGGAUGCCAAUAAUGGAAUCUAUCAUGUAGCAUAUGCCAUAGUUGAAUCAGAAAACACUACUUCCUGGCUGUGGUUCCUUGAAUACUUGGGUGAUGAUCUAGACAAUCAUGCUAAUACCAACUUCACUUUUAUUAGUGAUAGACAGAAGGGUCUGAUACCUGCAAUCAACCAGUUGUUUCCUGGAGCAGAAUAUAGGUAUUGUCUUUGUCAUAUUCAUGAAAACAUGAGAUCCAAAUUGAGAGGGGACCUUUACAAAGACAUGUUAUGGAAAUGUGCAAGUGCUACAACAGUUCCUUUCUUCAAUAAGGACAUGGAUGAGAUCAAACAAAAGGAUGUAGGUUUGUACAACUGGAUGCAACAAAUCCCACCAAAGCAUUGGACCAGAUCCCAUUUUAGUGGUAAGUUUUAAUUAGGUUUCUAUUAUGUAACAUUUUUAAAUAGGCUUUUGUUAUAUGU